This 1218-nucleotide long non-coding RNA is filed under the name Lactuca sativa (garden lettuce). Its description in RNAcentral is "long non-coding RNA (LSAT_LNC009252)". The record is from RNAcentral. Lineage: Eukaryota; Viridiplantae; Streptophyta; Magnoliopsida; Asterales; Asteraceae.
AGCGGAGAAAGUCUAAGAAAAGGGGAUUUCGAUAUGAUUUUUAAGAAGAAAGAAGGAGAGAUUAAGAAGGAGCAAGCAAAGUAUUGUUUACUACUUCUAGAAUCAAGCGUAAGUUUUUUAUGCUAACCAAUUUAUGAAUUAAGGCAAAUACGAGUUUAGCGUUUAAUAACCCUAAUCAUAACAAUUGAAUUCUAUAUUAAAAUUUUGAUGAGUAGUAGAAAAUAGAAGUGGUAAUUACUUGAUUCUAAGUGUGUAGAGUAAUAACAAGAAUUAAUUUUGUGUGAUUGGGGAUGAAUUUCUGACCCUAGAAAUUGAAGUUCGUGAUUUUGCCGAAUUGAGUUCAUAAUGUGUCUAUUAAAGAUAUAAAGAUGAUCAAUUCUAAGUACAUGAAUAAAUUGAGUAUUUGAUAUUUUGCUACACAUAAUUGAGUAUUGUGGAGCUAUGUUGUAGUGUUAUUGAUUAUGAACGCGUCAUAACAUGUAAGAGUUGUAUUAUUGACUAGGUUUGGGUGAAACAAAACUUGGAACGAGAUCUCGUAGAAUUGGAAAAAGAUAUUAUCAACCUAAUCAAGGUGAGUAGUUUAACUUUAACUCACACUAUGUAUUGUGUUGUAUUGUUUAGAGCUAUAUAUCUAUAUUUACGUUCCUAUAUGUCGUUACAUGAAUAUAACAAAAUGAGUAUUUUAGCAUGACUUAUAAUGGGUAUAAGUCUGGUAAGUUAAAAGUAUGCCAAGAGAAGGGUGCAUGUGUUGUUGUAGCUAUAUAUGAGUAUUAUGAAAAUUUUCAUAUAAUAUGCAAGCCUCCUAAUGAGUUAUAUGUUGGCAUUAUUUUGGAGAACAUUAAGUUAAAAAUGACGAAUAUGAUUAUAUGAUAACGAUGUAUUAUGAUGUGAUAACGUAUGGUUAAAUUACUCAUGAAGUAUAUUCUUAUUUUGUGAAUGUGAUUGUGGAUAACAGGAAACGUAAACCAAGGCAAGGGAAACGGAAUAAUUGAAAAUUAGGAGUCAGUUUAUAUAUAAUUAUUAUCUUUUGUAUAAAACUUCAUGUGUCAAGACACCAGAUAGAUCUUGGUGUAGUUUUAAUGUGUUUGUAUGUAUUUCCUUUUGUCUGUAGAUAGUUAACUAAUCACGGUGGUUUGAUGAAUCAUAUUUCUAAAAAUUUGGGUGUAUUUUGCUUAUAAAAUUUGAGAAAAAAUCUAUUUUGCUGCACUUAAUUCCAGC